UAUCGAGUUUGACUGUGAUAUUUUUAGUCAAAUUUUAGGUAUUCCAUCAGAUGGUGAUAGAUAUUUUAAUAUCACUUGUUAGAGUCAUAAUAGAUUAGGUUACUGUAGUUGUAUUAGAACUAUUUUUGAGGACGAUAGUUUGGGGCAAACAAAUAAACCUAGUGCACAUCUAUUACCACUGAAAAAUAGAUUAAUUCAUCAUAUAUUAACAUCCAAUUUUCUGCCUAG
This 228-nucleotide long non-coding RNA is filed under the name Elaeis guineensis (African oil palm). RNAcentral describes it as "long non-coding RNA (EGUI_LNC001263)". Lineage: Eukaryota; Viridiplantae; Streptophyta; Magnoliopsida; Arecales; Arecaceae. The record is from RNAcentral.